AUUGCAGGCUGCAACUCGCCUGCAUGAAGUUGGAAUUGCUAGUAAUCGCGAAUCAGAAUGUCGCGGUGAAUACGUUCCCGGGCCUUGUACACACCGCCCGUCACACCAUGAGAGUCGAUAACACCCGAAGCCUGUGAGCUAACCGCAAGGGGGCAGCAGUCGAAGGUGGGGUUGAUGAUUGGGGUGAAGUCGUAACAAGGUAGC
Molecule: ribosomal RNA, 204 nt
Filed under: uncultured bacterium
Lineage: Bacteria
Description: partial 16S ribosomal RNA
Rfam family: Bacterial small subunit ribosomal RNA
Source: RNAcentral